Molecule: transfer RNA, 72 nt
Organism: Loxodonta africana (African savanna elephant)
Lineage: Eukaryota; Metazoa; Chordata; Mammalia; Proboscidea; Elephantidae
Rfam family: tRNA
About the family: Transfer RNA (tRNA) molecules are approximately 80 nucleotides in length. Their secondary structure includes four short double-helical elements and three loops (D, anti-codon, and T loops).
Source: Rfam
GGGAGUAUAGCUCAGUGGUAGAGUGCUUGCCUAGCAUGCACGAAGUCCUGGGUUCAAAUCCAAGUACCUCCA